This 253-nucleotide ribosomal RNA is filed under the name uncultured bacterium. RNAcentral describes it as "partial 16S ribosomal RNA". It matches the Rfam family "Bacterial small subunit ribosomal RNA", at positions 524 to 776 of the family's 1533-position model. The record is from RNAcentral.
UACGGAGGGUGCUAGCGUUGUUCGGAAUGACUGGGCGUAAAGCGCACGUAGGCGGCUUUGUAAGUUAGAGGUGAAAGCCCGGGGCUCAACUCCGGAAUUGCCUUUAAGACUGCAUCGCUAGAAUUGUGGAGAGGUAAGUGGAAUUCCGAGUGUAGAGGUGAAAUUCGUAGAUAUUCGGAAGAACACCAGUGGCGAAGGCGCCUUACUGGGCACAUAUUGACGCUGAGGGGCGAAAGCGUGGGGAGCAAAUAGG